RNAcentral lists this ribosomal RNA (369 nucleotides) under uncultured bacterium. RNAcentral's name for it is "partial 16S ribosomal RNA". It matches the Rfam family "Bacterial small subunit ribosomal RNA", at positions 338 to 699 of the family's 1533-position model. The record is from RNAcentral.
CCUACGGGAGGCAGCAGUGGGGAAUUUUGCGCAAUGCUCGUAAGAGUGACGCAGCGACGCCGCGUGAAUGACGAAGGCCUUCGGGUCGUAAAGUUCUUUCGACAGGGAAGAAAAUGCAUUUAAGUAACUGUGUAUGUAUUGACGGUACCUGUAUACGCAGCCCCGGCUAACUCCGUGCCAGCAGCCGCGGUAAUACGGAGGGGGCGAGCGUUGUUCGGGGUGACUGGGCGUAAAGGGCACGUCGGCGGUGUUGUAAGUCAUUAGUCAAAGACUAGAGCUCAACUUUAGUAAGGCUAGUGAUACUGUAGUACUAGAGUAUAAGAGAGGAAGGCAGAAUACCUGGAGUAGCGGUGAAAUGCGUAGAUAUCA